Molecule: ribosomal RNA, 301 nt
Filed under: uncultured bacterium
Lineage: Bacteria
Description: partial 16S ribosomal RNA
Rfam family: Bacterial small subunit ribosomal RNA
Source: RNAcentral
CAGUAGCCGCGGUAAUACAGAGGUCCCAAGCGUUACUGAGAAUCACUGGGUUUAAAGGGUGCGUAGGUGGUCCGUUAAGUCAGUUGUGAAAUCCCCGGGCUCAACCCGGGAACUGCUUCUGAUACUGGCGGACUUGAGGCCAGUAGAGGUCACUAGAACAGACGGUGGAGCGGUGAAAUGCGUAGAUAUCGUCUGGAAUGCCGGUGGUGAAGACGGGUGACUGGGCUGGUUCUGACACUGAGGCACGAAAGCGUGGGGAGCGAACGGGAUUAGAUACCCCCGUAGUCCCUGUCUCUUAUAC